This 229-nucleotide ribosomal RNA is filed under the name uncultured bacterium. RNAcentral's name for it is "partial 16S ribosomal RNA". It matches the Rfam family "Bacterial small subunit ribosomal RNA", at positions 568 to 796 of the family's 1533-position model. The record is from RNAcentral.
UGCGUAGGCGGGCUAAUAAGUCAGUGGUGAAAGUUUACGGCUCAACCGUAAAAGUGCCAUUGAUACUGGUAGUCUUGAGUACAGUAGAGGUAGGCGGAAUUUAUGGUGUAGCGGUGAAAUGCAUAGAUACCAUAAAGAACACCGAUAGCGAAGGCAGCUUACUAUACUGAGACUGACGCUGAGGCACGAAAGCGUGGGGAGCGAACAGGAUUAGAUACCCUGGUAGUCC